UACGAAGGGGGCUAGCGUUGCUCGGAAUCACUGGGCGUAAAGCGCACGUAGGCGGAUUGCUAAGUCAGGGGUGAAAUCCUGGAGCUCAACUCCAGAACUGCCUUUGAUACUGGCGACCUUGAGUCCGGGAGAGGUGAGUGGAACUGCGAGUGUAGAGGUGAAAUUCGUAGAUAUCGGGAGGAACACCAGUGGCGAAGGCGGCGAUCUGGGAAGAUACUGACGCUGAGGUGCGAAAGCGUGGGGAGCAAACAGG
This 253-nucleotide ribosomal RNA is filed under the name uncultured bacterium. RNAcentral's name for it is "partial 16S ribosomal RNA". It matches the Rfam family "Bacterial small subunit ribosomal RNA", at positions 524 to 776 of the family's 1533-position model. The record is from RNAcentral.